This 495-nucleotide ribosomal RNA is filed under the name uncultured Saccharopolyspora sp. RNAcentral's name for it is "partial 16S ribosomal RNA". Lineage: Bacteria; Bacillati; Actinomycetota; Actinomycetes; Pseudonocardiales; Pseudonocardiaceae. The record is from RNAcentral.
CACGUAGUUAGCCGGUGCUUCUUCCCCACCUACCGUCACCCCAAAGGGCUUCGUCGAUGGUGAAAGAGGUUUACAACCCGAAGGCCUUCAUCCCCCACGCGGCGUUGCUGCGUCAGGCUUUCGCCCAUUGCGCAAGAUUCCCCACUGCUGCCUCCCGUAGGAGUCUGGGCCGUGUCUCAGUCCCAGUGUGGCCGGUCACCCUCUCAGGCCGGCUACCCGUCGUCGCCUUGGUAGGCCAUUACCCCACCAACAAGCUGAUAGGCCGCGGGCCCAUCCCAUACCGCCGGAACUUUCCACACCCCACCAUGCGGCAGAAUGUCCUAUCCGGUAUUAGCCCCCGUUUCCAGGGGUUAUCCCAGAGUAUGGGGCAGAUUACCCACGUGUUACUCACCCGUUCGCCACUCAUCCACCCCACCACAAGGGCAGAGCUUCAGCGUUCGACUUGCAUGUGUUAAGCACGCCGCCAGCGUCGUCCUGAGCCACGGAGUCAACUAC